Molecule: non-coding RNA, 2080 nt
Organism: Rattus norvegicus (Norway rat)
Lineage: Eukaryota; Metazoa; Chordata; Mammalia; Rodentia; Muridae
Source: RefSeq, a predicted model, not a curated record
CACUCUCUUCUAUACCUAUUAUCCUUAGGUUUGAUCUUCUCAUUGAGUCCUGGAUUUCCUGUAUGUUUUGGACCAGUAGCUUUUUCUGCUUUACAUUAUCUUUGACAGUUGAGUCAAUGAUUUCUAUGGAAUCUUCUGCUCCCAAGAUUCUCUCUUCCAUCUCUUGUAUUCUGUUGGUGAAGCUUGUAUCUACAGCUCCUUGUCUUUUCUUUUGAUUUUCUAUUUCCAGGGUUGUUUCCAUGUGUUCUUUCUUGAUUGCUUCUAUUUCCAUUUUUAAUUCCUUCAACUGUUUGAUUGUGUUUUCCUGGAAUUCUUUCAGGGAUUUUUGCGAUUCCUCUCUGUAGGCUUCUACUUGUUCUCUAAGGGAGUUUUUAUGUCUUUCUUGAAGUCCUCCAGCAUCAUGAUCAAAUAUGAUUUUGAAACUAGAUCUUGCUUUUCUGGUGUGUUUGGAUAUUCCGUGUUUGCUUUGGUGGGAGAAUUGGGCUCCGAUGAUGCCAUGUAGUCUUGGUCUCUGUUGCUUGGGUUCCUGCGCUUGCCUCUCGCCAUCAGAUUAUCUCUAGUGUUACUUUGUUCUGCUAUUUCUGACCGUGGCUAGACUGUCCUAUAAGCCUGUGUGUCAGGAGUGCUGUAGACCUGUUUUCCUGUUUUCUUUCAGCCAGUUAUGGGGACAGAGUGUUCUGCUUUCGGGCGUGUAGUUUUUCCUCUCUACAGGUCUUCAGCUGUUCCUGUGGGCCUGUGUCUUGAGUUCACCAGGCAGGUUUCUUGCAGGGGAAAAGUUGGUCCUACCUGUCGUUCCAAGGCUCAAGUUUGCUCGUGGGGUACUGCCCAAGUCCUCUCCGCAGCGUCAGCAACCGGGAAGAUCUGCGCCGCUCUUUCCGGGAGCCUCCGUGCACCAGGGUUCCAGAUGACGUUUGGUGUUUUCCUCUGGCGUCUGGAUGUGCACAGAGUGCAGUCUCUUCUGGUGUCCCAGGCGUGUCCGCCUCUCUGAAGGUUUAGCUCUCCCUCCCACGGGAUUUGGGUGCAGAGAACUGUUUAUCCGGUCUGUUUCCUUCAGGUUCCGGCGGUGUCUCAGGCGCAGGGGUCCUGCCGCUCCUGGGCCCUCCCCUACGGGAACCCAGAGGCCUUAUACAGUUGCCUCUUGGGCCAGGGAUGUGGGCAGGGGUGGGCAGUGUUGGUGGUCUCCUCCGCUCUGCGGCCUCAGGAGUGCCCACCUGAUCAGGCGGUGAGGUCUCUCUCCCACGGGGUUUGGGAGCAGAGAGCUGCAGGGGACAGUCUUGAUAAUGAGUGAUGUCACUCACUGUAAGAAUUCCUGGACUUAGAAAGCAGGCUGAGUUAGGCACCAAGAGCAAGCCAGUGAGUAGCACCCCUCCACGGCCUCUGCAUCAGCUCCUGCCUCCAGGCCCCUGCCUUGAACUCCUGUUCUGACUCCCCUGGAUGAUGACAUAAGCCUUCCCCUGCUGAGUUGAUUUGACCGUGGUGUUUUAUCACAGCAAUAGAAUCCCUAACCAAGACCAGGGUAAUGCCUCCCAUCUACUCCUGGGCCAUCCUCCUCCAGCAGGUGUUUUGCUCGCAUGUAUGUCUGUGUACCUCAUGAGAACCUGUCUGUAAAACAUCUACAGCGUCGGGCGCCCACAUGGAUGGUGGAAGGUGCAGGUUGCCUCCUCUGAGUGGUCCUCUGAUUGCUACAUAUGUGUCAUUGCCUUAAGGCCACUUAUUGCUGUGAGGACAUACCACGACCAAGGCAGCUUUUAAAGGAAAUCACGUCAUUGCGGGCUGGCUUACAGUUUCAGAGGCUUUGUCCAUGACCGUGAUCAUCAUGGUGGGAUGAUCAGGGACACGCCUCCACCAAAGCCACACCUCCUAAUCCUUCCCAAACAGUUCCUUCAACUGGGACGAAGAAUUCAAACAUAGGAGUCUAUGGGGGGGUUGUUGGGGAUUUAGCUCAGUGGUAGAGCGCUUGCCUAGCAAGCGCAAGGCCCUGGGUUCGGUCCCCAGCUCUGGAAAAAAAAAAGGAGUCUCAUUUGAACCACCACAGCCAUGUCCACAACAAGACUGAAUAAAAUAGAAUCUUAAAAAAGAA